UACGGAAGGGGCAAGCGUUGUUCGGAAUCAUUGGGCGUAAAGGGCGCGUAGGUGGUUCUGUAUGUCUACCGUGAAAGCGUACGGCUCAACCGUAUUUUGUCGGUAGAAACUGCAGGACUUGAGGCUGGGAGGGGCUGGUGGAAUUCCCUGUGUAGCGGUGAAAUGCGUAGAGAUGGGGGAGAACACCCGUGGCGAAGGCGGCUUUCUGGGACGGUACUGACGCUGAGACGCGAAAGCGUGGGGAGCGAACAGG
Molecule: ribosomal RNA, 253 nt
Filed under: uncultured bacterium
Lineage: Bacteria
Description: partial 16S ribosomal RNA
Rfam family: Bacterial small subunit ribosomal RNA
Source: RNAcentral